GUGGUGCUGAGGAUCAAACCCGGGCCGCACGCAUGCCAGGGUGCCAUUUCUUCAUCCUAAUGAAUUCCUCUGUUUAAUCUUGAAAAUGAAUCAUGGUAUUAAACAUCAAGGGACACUUUUUUGGCUUGAAAAAAUGGA
Marmota flaviventris (yellow-bellied marmot) is the source of this 138-nucleotide long non-coding RNA. RefSeq lists it as uncharacterized. The record is from RefSeq and is a predicted model, not a curated record. NCBI's taxonomy places the organism in Eukaryota, Metazoa, Chordata, Mammalia, Rodentia, Sciuridae.